RNAcentral lists this ribosomal RNA (253 nucleotides) under uncultured bacterium. RNAcentral describes it as "partial 16S ribosomal RNA". It matches the Rfam family "Bacterial small subunit ribosomal RNA", at positions 524 to 776 of the family's 1533-position model. The record is from RNAcentral.
UACGUAGGGUGCGAGCGUUAAUCGGAAUUACUGGGCGUAAAGCGUGCGCAGGCGGUUUUGUAAGCCAGAUGUGAAAUCCCCGGGCUUAACCUGGGAAUGGCAUUUGGGACUGCAAGGCUGGAGUGCGGCAGAGGAGACUGGAAUUCCUGGUGUAGCAGUGAAAUGCGUAGAUAUCAGGAGGAACACCGAUGGCGAAGGCAGGUCUCUGGGCAUCUCCUGACGCUGAGGCGCGAAAGCGUGGGGAGCGAACAGG